Cyprinus carpio carpio is the source of this 1877-nucleotide long non-coding RNA. NCBI's taxonomy places the organism in Eukaryota, Metazoa, Chordata, Actinopteri, Cypriniformes, Cyprinidae. The record is from Ensembl.
CUUGGAAUGAAAAUUCAAAUGAAAAUUACAAAUAUAAAUAUAGCUGCAAGCAGCGAUUACGGUGCCACUACAGAAGCAAGCCUCAGACCAACUGCAGUAAUGAGUAAUUAAAACCAUUUUAAGAUUAUUUUAGUCAAAAUGGGUGAAAAAUCAUAAAUAAAACCACUAGUAAUAUGAUUUCUUGGCUUAUCAAUUUUGACCAAUAGGUGGCGCUGUUACCAAAUUAAUGUAGCAUGGUCAGUGUGAGGAUACAAUGGCACAUACAAAGUUUGGUGUCAAUACGUCAAAUAUUUGCAUAGAUACAGCCUCAGAUGCAGUUUGGCACUGUGCCUAAAAUUUGUAGCAGCCCUGUAUGAAAACAGUUUUGCUUGUUGACACGAAAUCCAUAACGUUUUGUCACCACAGUUGGAAAAUCUUCUGACUUGAUUUUGGUGAAAAUUGGACCAAUGUUCGAGGAGGAGUUUGAAAAACUGACUGAGAUCAUGCAGCUGAUGAAUGCUUACUUCAGUGCCACCCGUCGCCAGCUGGGCAAGGAUGACUGCAUCUCCAUGGAGACAAACCCUAAGCUCCACCCCUCCCUACUUGAGCUCCCCUCUCACCCGGUGUGAAGAGAGAUGGACUCGCGCUCACCCACACGCACACACUGACUCUGACUGAUGUACACGUGCAUAUGCAGUCCUGACUGAUUGCUUCCCUGUGUGGAGCUUUUGCAAAGAGGACAAACUCAGAUGAGACUGAAAGGAGCAGAUGCUGUGGAAAUAGAAGAGGAGUGGAAGGUGUCCAGGGAGCCACAAACAGGAGAGCAGUUUCAGGAACUCACUUGCUACACCGCCAGCCAAAUCCAGAAAGAACACGGGGCCCUCCGCCGGCCCCUGCCACCUGGGAGCCAGCCAAAUAUCACAGACAGCAUAAUAGCCUGACUUCAGAGAUGAACAGAGAGAAAAUCAUUUUCUGAAGUAGAAUUUUUGCCUUGUUUUUAGUGUUUAAAUAUUUAAACAUCCUUAAAACAACAUGAAUUUAUUUUGACUUAUUUUGAACAAUUACGAUACAUAUAAUUGUCCUGAAAUUCAUUGAUUUUUAAGACUAACUUCAAAGAAUUUAUCUCAAAUUGAGUUAUUUUUUCUUAUUUUGCUUCUUAUGUAAAUUUACCUUGUUUGUAGGAUGUUUUUAUUUUUUAUUGGAAAAUAUGACAAAAAUACAGAUUUUUUGCAACGAUGUCUUUAUAUUGCACUACAGGAAGACAACACAAACACGCUGCCGUUGCACUCACAUGAAAACACUCGCUCUGCUUUAAACGUUCCUUUCCUGACUCUUGCCUGGAUCGUCAUUAAACUCAUUCAUCAAACCGUACAUGACCUUAAAAUGAAAGCAGGUGCAAGUCGACCUUCAGAACUGUCCAUUACUGAACCGGCAGUGGUGUGUGUGUGCGUGAGAGACAGAUUUGAACAUUUUAAGCUGUAGAAACCAAAGGAUCUUUAGCUCGUCUCUAUGAUGUGAGUGUAUUUGUGAAAUGCUUUGAGCCUGACCUGGUGCUGCUUGACUGUGCUGUGAGCUUACAGUAACUCUGCACUGUGCGUCCUGUAGCCAUGACAGCCUUAGAUCUUUAGAUCCGGUUAAAACCAACUAACUUAGACACAUUUGCAACCUGGUGCCUGUGUAGGUAAAUGACAUUUUCAACAACAAAAAAACCCCCAGAUAAUUCAGGUUCAAACCAUGUUUCCCAGACCUCCCAAUGCAUUUUCAAACACUGAAGAUAGACAAAUAAUCAACACUAUUGAUAUGCAAUCCCAUAUGGUGAAGACAGCACAUUUCUGUAGUUCACCCAAAAAUGAAAAUUCGUUUAUCAUUUACUCACCCUCGUGUUGUUCCAAGCCUGU